Molecule: ribosomal RNA, 301 nt
Filed under: uncultured bacterium
Lineage: Bacteria
Description: partial 16S ribosomal RNA
Rfam family: Bacterial small subunit ribosomal RNA
Source: RNAcentral
CAGUCGCCGCGGUAAUACGUAGGGGGCGAGCGUUGUCCGGAAUUACUGGGCGUAAAGGGCACGCAGGCUGUGAUUCAAGUCAGCUGUAAAAGGAUGCGGCUUAACCGUGUUUAGCAGUUGAAACUGGAUGACUGGAGUGCUGGAGAGGCAAGUGGAAUUCCCAGUGUAGCGGUGAAAUGCGUAGAUAUUGGGAAGAACAUCGGUGGCGAAGGCGACUUGCUGGCCAGUAACUGACGCUGAGGUGCGAAAGCCAGGGUAGCAAACGGGAUUAGAUACCCCCGUAGUCCCUGUCUCUUAUACA